GUUCUUGUAGUUGAACACAGCGGUAGUUUUUCGGACUAUAGGUCUAGGUUAAAAUCCUAGCAGGAACU
Molecule: transfer RNA, 68 nt
Filed under: Polypedates braueri (Java treefrog)
Lineage: Eukaryota; Metazoa; Chordata; Amphibia; Anura; Rhacophoridae
Description: tRNA-Glu
Rfam family: tRNA
About the family: Transfer RNA (tRNA) molecules are approximately 80 nucleotides in length. Their secondary structure includes four short double-helical elements and three loops (D, anti-codon, and T loops). Further hydrogen bonds mediate the characteristic L-shaped molecular structure. tRNAs have two regions of fundamental functional importance: the anti-codon, which is responsible for specific mRNA codon recognition, and the 3' end, to which the tRNAs corresponding amino acid is attached (by aminoacyl-tRNA synthetases). tRNAs cope with the degeneracy of the genetic code in two manners: having more than one tRNA (with a specific anti-codon) for a particular amino acid; and 'wobble' base-pairing, i.e. permitting non-standard base-pairing at the 3rd anti-codon position.
Source: RNAcentral